AUGCUCACUUAGGCAGCACAUAUACUAAAAAAUUGGAAUGAUACAGAGAUCAGCAUGGCCCCUCUGCAAGGAUGACAUGUAAAUUCGUGAAGCCAUAUUUAA
Jaculus jaculus (lesser Egyptian jerboa) is the source of this 102-nucleotide small nuclear RNA. The record is from Ensembl. Lineage: Eukaryota; Metazoa; Chordata; Mammalia; Rodentia; Dipodidae.